RNAcentral lists this ribosomal RNA (798 nucleotides) under uncultured bacterium. RNAcentral describes it as "bacterial SSU rRNA". It matches the Rfam family "Bacterial small subunit ribosomal RNA", at positions 8 to 830 of the family's 1533-position model. The record is from RNAcentral.
AGAGUUUGAUCCUGGCUCAGAACGAACGCUGGCGGCAUGCCUAACACAUGCAAGUCGAACGAAGGCUUCGGCCUUAGUGGCGCACGGGUGAGUAACACGUGGGAACCUGCCUUUCGGUUCGGAAUAACGUCUGGAAACGGACGCUAACACCGGAUACGUCCUUCGGGAGAAAGUUUACGCCGAGAGAGGGGCCCGCGUCGGAUUAGGUAGUUGGUGUGGUAACGGCGCACCAAGCCGACGAUCCGUAGCUGGUCUGAGAGGAUGAUCAGCCACACUGGGACUGAGACACGGCCCAGACUCCUACGGGAGGCAGCAGUGGGGAAUUUUGGACAAUGGGGGCAACCCUGAUCCAGCCAUUCCGCGUGAGUGAAGAAGGCCUUCGGGUUGUAAAGCUCUUUCAGCUGGAGCGAAACGGUACGCUCUAACAUAGCGUGCUACUGACGGUACCAGCAGAAGAAGCACCGGCUAACUACGUGCCAGCAGCCGCGGUAAUACGUAGGGUGCGAGCGUUAAUCGGAAUUACUGGGCGUAAAGCGUGCGCAGGCGGAUUGUUAAGCAAGACGUGAAAUCCCCGGGCUUAACCUGGGAAUGGCGUUUUGAACUGGCAGUCUAGAGUGCGUCAGAGGGGGGUGGAAUUCCACGUGUAGCAGUGAAAUGCGUAGAGAUGUGGAGGAACACCGAUGGCGAAGCAGCCCCCUGGGAUGACACUGACGCUCAUGUACGAAAGCGUGGGUAGCAAACAGGAUUAGAUACCCUGGUAGUCCACGCCCUAAACGAUGUCAACUGGUUGUUGGGGGA